UACGUAGGGGGCAAGCGUUAUCCGGAUUUACUGGGUGUAAAGGGAGUGUAGGUGGUCUGGCAAGUCAGAUGUGAAAGCCCGGGGCUCAACUCCGGGACUGCAUUUGAAACUGUCAGACUAGAGUGCAGGAGAGGAAAGUGGAAUUCCUAGUGUAGCGGUGAAAUGCGUAGAUAUUAGGAAGAACACCAGUGGCGAAGGCGGCUUUCUGGACUGUAACUGACACUGAGGCUCGAAAGCGUGGGGAGCAAACAGG
RNAcentral lists this ribosomal RNA (253 nucleotides) under uncultured Lachnospiraceae bacterium. Its description in RNAcentral is "partial 16S ribosomal RNA". It matches the Rfam family "Bacterial small subunit ribosomal RNA", at positions 524 to 776 of the family's 1533-position model. The record is from RNAcentral. Lineage: Bacteria; Bacillati; Bacillota; Clostridia; Lachnospirales; Lachnospiraceae.